Molecule: ribosomal RNA, 383 nt
Filed under: uncultured bacterium
Lineage: Bacteria
Description: bacterial SSU rRNA
Rfam family: Bacterial small subunit ribosomal RNA
Source: RNAcentral
AUUGAACGCUGGCGGCAUGCUUUACACAUGCAAGUCGAACGGCAGCGGGGGCUUCGGCCUGCCGGCGAGUGGCGAACGGGUGAGUAAUGCAUCGGAACGUACCCAGUCAUGGGGGAUAACUACGCGAAAGCGUAGCUAAUACCGCAUACGCCCUGAGGGGGAAAGCGGGGGAUCGCAAGACCUCGCGUGAUUGGAGCGGCCGAUGUCGGAUUAGCUAGUUGGUGGGGUAAAGGCCUACCAAGGCGACGAUCCGUAGCGGGUCUGAGAGGAUGAUCCGCCACACUGGGACUGAGACACGGCCCAGACUCCUACGGGAGGCAGCAGUGGGGGAAUAUUGCGCAAUGGGCGAAAGCCUGACGCAGCGACGCCGCGUGGGUGAUGAA